This is a long non-coding RNA of Oncorhynchus keta (chum salmon), 508 nucleotides long. RefSeq lists it as uncharacterized. The transcript is spliced from 3 exons. The record is from RefSeq and is a predicted model, not a curated record. NCBI's taxonomy places the organism in Eukaryota, Metazoa, Chordata, Actinopteri, Salmoniformes, Salmonidae.
UCCAGACCAUGAGGCUCUCUAUAGGUUCCAGACCAUGAGGCUCUCUAUAGGUUCCAGACCAUGAGGCUCUCUAUAGGUUCCAGACCAUGAGGCUCUCUAUAGGUUCCAGACCAUGAGGCUCUCUAUAGGUUCCAGACCAUGAGGCUCUCUAUAGGUUCCAGACCAUGAGGCUCUCUAUAGGUUCCAGACCAUGAGGCUCUCUAUAGGUUCCAGACCAUGAGGCUCUCUAUAGGUUCCAGACCAUGAGGCUCUCUAUAGGUUCCAGACCAUGAGGCUCUCUAUAGGUUCCAGACCAUGAGGCUCUCUAUAGGUUCCAGACCAUGAGGCUCUCUAUAGGUUCCAGACCAUGAGGCUCUCUAUAGGUUCCAGACCAUGAGGCUCUCUAUAGGUUCCAGACCAUGAGGCUCUCUAUAGGUUCCAGACCAUGAGGCUCUCUAUAGGUUUGACUUUAUUAUGGCCCUGAUAAACUAUUGUUGUGGAUGGGAUGGUUCAUUUAAAUCCUUUAGAA